Molecule: ribosomal RNA, 483 nt
Filed under: uncultured bacterium
Lineage: Bacteria
Description: partial 16S ribosomal RNA
Rfam family: Bacterial small subunit ribosomal RNA
Source: RNAcentral
UUGAACGCUGGCGGCCGGCCUAACACAUGCAAGUCGAGCGGAUGAAGGGAGCUUGCUCCUGGAUUCAGCGGCGGACGGGUGAGUAAUGCCUAGGAAUCUGCCUGGUAGUGGGGGAUAACGUCCGGAAACGGGCGCUAAUACCGCAUACGUCCUGAGGGAGAAAGUGGGGGAUCUUCGGACCUCACGCUAUCAGAUGAGCCUAGGUCGGAUUAGCUAGUUGGUGGGGUAAAGGCCUACCAAGGCGACGAUCCGUAACUGGUCUGAGAGGAUGAUCAGUCACACUGGAACUGAGACACGGUCCAGACUCCUACGGGAGGCAGCAGUGGGGAAUAUUGGACAAUGGGCGAAAGCCUGAUCCAGCCAUGCCGCGUGUGUGAAGAAGGUCUUCGGAUUGUAAAGCACUUUAAGUUGGGAGGAAGGGCAGUAAGUUAAUACCUUGCUGUUUUGACGUUACCAGCAGAAUAAGCACCGGCUAACUUCGUG